GGGGUUCGGGCAGGUCGGCGAAACCCCCCGAUCUUGCAUGGCAUGCAAGGGGUCAGGGGUUCAAAUCCCCUCAGCUCCACCA
This 82-nucleotide transfer RNA is filed under the name Acidimicrobiia bacterium. RNAcentral describes it as "tRNA-Ala". The record is from RNAcentral. Lineage: Bacteria; Bacillati; Actinomycetota; Acidimicrobiia.